Molecule: long non-coding RNA, 1257 nt
Organism: Nomia melanderi (Alkali bee)
Lineage: Eukaryota; Metazoa; Arthropoda; Insecta; Hymenoptera; Halictidae
Source: RefSeq, a predicted model, not a curated record
UUAAAGUGACUAGACUUGUCGAAUCGAUUGGUAAUCGUGUACGUUGAAAAUAUGUACAAUAAAUAUCAGUGUUUAUCUACGAUAUCGCAUUGAAAUGCAAUAGUGUGUAACGUAACGUCGCGACUCGCGAAUUGUAAGCUUGCGAGCCUCGUUACUUGGUACGGAAAAUACUAUUAAGCUUUUUAUCGGAUUAUUAAUCGGAUCUGUAGUUGUUCAGCGAUAUACGACAAUUCAGGAAGGCAGCGACCGAUUAAGGUCUCGUGUAGCGAUGCCGGUACGGGGUCCAGGCGAAUAAUUCUACGAAAAGAAUAGAGAUACUGACAACAGGCGAUGUACGUGUCUACAUAAACAAUGGUAUUUCGGCUUUAUACAUGGACGCAUGGAAAACACACACAAAACGCAUGGUGAAACACCAUCGAAAAUAGUGUCAAUGGGAGAAUCUGUUAUCGUACCGCGUGAUAUUCAUUACUCGUUAUCGAGUGUCAAGAACCGCACACCUCGAUAAGGAAUCGCAUCCACCGCAUGGGGACUUGGUGUACAUUUCGAAAUGAGGCUAAUUAAGAAAAUAGUUUCCAAUGAGAAAUAGUUGGUUAAGCAUGCUAGGUGAUUUCAUGGUUACCCAUUCAAUCGUUCAGUCACAGUUGCUACAGGAUACACUAAAAGGAUACAAGGCGAUAAUAAUUAAACGAUAUAUGAAGUAUGUAUACGACUACAUGCUUGAACCGCUCCGUAACAUUAAUGAACGAGGACGUUACGAUUAUUGUGUCUUUCAUCGAAUCUUUGGUCAGAAUUUGAAUUAGGAACAAGCAUACUCGUCUAUCGUCUACUAUAUUUCAACUAAAAACGUCCUCGAACACGAAGCUAUCGUUUACAAAUGUACAUGUACACGAGGCGUAUGUGGUCUGUUUAACGAUCAUGUUGGGAAACGAGCUUGGUUGAUAAGAGAGCGGUGCAAAGCUACGAUAUUCGAAAGUGAUAUAUGGUAGCAUUGCGCGCGAAAUUGCAUUUCGAAACGCUCUACGAUUUACCAUUGCUGUUGAAGCAUGGGCAGAGCGCGUUGAAUAUGCGAUUGCAGAAUCCACGUGCACGAUGAUUCCAGCCAACGAUACUAUCGGUACCUUUUAGUUUGGUUCCUAGGCAAAUACGCGGGCAUUUCAUUUAUUCGCUCGAUCAAGAAUUCUCUCUCGAAAGGUACGAGAACACGAUUAAAAGAGGCAUCCGAAGUCUUCGGAAAGCAUCGAGUAACAGAAACAUUUC